Molecule: ribosomal RNA, 119 nt
Organism: Tribolium castaneum (red flour beetle)
Lineage: Eukaryota; Metazoa; Arthropoda; Insecta; Coleoptera; Tenebrionidae
Source: Rfam
GGCAACGUCCAUACCACCCUGAAUACACCAGUUCUCGUCUGAUCACUGAAGUUAAGCAGCGUCGGGCGCGGUUAGUACUUGGAUGGGUGACCGCUUGGGAACACCGCGUGCCGUUGCCU